This 400-nucleotide ribosomal RNA is filed under the name uncultured bacterium. RNAcentral describes it as "bacterial SSU rRNA". It matches the Rfam family "Bacterial small subunit ribosomal RNA", at positions 356 to 773 of the family's 1533-position model. The record is from RNAcentral.
GGGGAAUCUUGCGCAAUGGGCGAAAGCCUGACGCAGCCAUGCCGCGUGGAUGAUGAAGGUCUUAGGAUUGUAAAAUCCUUUCACCGGUGAAGAUAAUGACUGUAGCCGGAGAAGAAGCCCCGGCUAACUUCGUGCCAGCAGCCGCGGUAAUACGAAGGGGGCUAGCGUUGCUCGGAAUUACUGGGCGUAAAGGGAGCGUAGGCGGACAUUUAAGUCAGGGGUGAAAUCCCAGAGCUCAACUCUGGAACUGCCUUUGAUACUGGGUGUCUUGAGUGUGAUAGAGGUAUGUGGAACUCCGAGUGUAGAGGUGAAAUUCGUAGAUAUUCGGAAGAACACCAGUGGCGAAGGCGACAUACUGGAUCAUUACUGACGCUGAGGCUCGAAAGCGUGGGGAGCAAAC